This 340-nucleotide RNase P RNA is filed under the name pig gut metagenome. RNAcentral describes it as "Bacterial RNase P class B". It matches the Rfam family "Bacterial RNase P class B". Rfam says of the family: Ribonuclease P (RNase P) is a ubiquitous endoribonuclease, found in archaea, bacteria and eukarya as well as chloroplasts and mitochondria. The record is from RNAcentral.
UUUGACAAACGCUAUAUUUUUAAUGAUAUAGAGGAAAGUCCAUGCUCACAAAAGCUGAGAUGCUUUUAGUGUUCGUGCUAAGGGAAAAAAUAACCUUAGGUAGCUUAAUAGCUAACGGCGACGAAGGAGUCUAAAUCUCUAAGACAUGACUCUAGUAGUUGUAAAGUGCCAUAGUGACGAAUAAUCUGGAAACGGAUGAUGUGGAACGCGGUAAACCCCACGAGUGAGAAACCCAAAUUUUGGUAGGGGAGCUUCGAAGAGGAAAAUGAACCAAAUCGGGGACCGGAGACGGUAGAUAAAUGUUUGUCGCCUAGAAAUAGGAACAGAACAUGGCUUAUAA